This 472-nucleotide ribosomal RNA is filed under the name uncultured bacterium. RNAcentral describes it as "partial 16S ribosomal RNA". It matches the Rfam family "Bacterial small subunit ribosomal RNA", at positions 29 to 499 of the family's 1533-position model. The record is from RNAcentral.
AGUGAACGCUGGCGGCGUGCCUAAUACAUGCAAGUCGAACGCGAAAGUCCUUCGGGAUGAGUAAAGUGGCGCACGGGUGAGUAAUACAUGGGAACAUGCCCUGGAUGGGGAAUAACGUUUGGAAACGAACGCUAAUACCGCAUAAUCUCGCGAGAGUAAAGGUGGCGCCGCAAGGGCUACCGUCCAAGGAUUGGCCCAUGUCCCAUUAGCUAGUUGGCGGGGUAAUGGCACACCAAGGCAACGAUGGGUAACUGGUCUGAGAGGAUGAUCAGUCACACUGGAACUGAGACACGGUCCAGACUCCUACGGGAGGCAGCAGUAGGGAAUAUUGCACAAUGGGGGAAGCCCUGAUGCAGCAACGCUGCGUGAGUGAAGAAGGCCCUUGGGUUGUAAAGCUCUUUAGCGUGGGAAGAAGGUAGAUAUGGUGAGUAAUCAUGUUUGCUGACGGUACCACGAGAAUAAGCACCGGCUA